CUUUAAGGUCAGCACUUAGCUUCAACCAAGAGUUAGUGAGUAUGUCAAGGAACACUAUCAUUAAUGUCAUGUUCAUAAUUGUAUUGCUAUGCUUUGUUACCUAGCCAUCUGCAUUAGAGUGUGCAUGCAGGGUGUGCUCAGGCAGCAUGGCAUCUGUGACUAGGCACUUCCUCACGCUGCCCCGGUGAGUCCCUCAGAUUACAAUUGACAGUCCUGAUCUAACUCACCAAACUGGGUUAUUGAUUUGAGUACAAGACUGAUGCCUUUGUCUGUGUGAAUGCCUGCCUGGUCGUCUGUGUAUGUGAAUGCCUGCCUGGUCGUCUGUGUAUGUGAAUGCCUGCCUGGUCGUCUGUGUAUGUGAAUGCCUGCCUGGUCGUCUGUUUAUGUGAAUGCCUGUCUGCCUCUGUCCGUCUGUCUGUGUGUGUGAAUGCCUGUCUGUCUCUGAGCAGGGUCCUAAUGCUUCAUAUCAAGCGGUUUACUGCAGGCAACUGGGAGCCAGAGAAGGUGGAUGAUCCCAUAUCCAUCCCUGCAGAACUGACCCUCCCAGCCGUAUGUGGGGCGACAGCCCCUGUCCAGCAUGGAGCCAGGGCAAGCUCCAUGGGGAAAAACAACAUGGACAACACACCUGCAAACUCCCCGAAAGGCACCCUUGAUAGACCAGAGACACCAGCCAGACAAUAUCUACAAAUUGUCAAGUGUGAUCUCACAUCUGGGAGACAACAUGUGUACAGGUAAAAUGCACGCACGCACACACAAUUCUGAAAGCUUAAUGUACACUCUAUUCUGUUUCCCUUGUUCCCUAG
This 803-nucleotide long non-coding RNA is filed under the name Salmo salar (Atlantic salmon). RNAcentral describes it as "lncRNA (ENSSSAG00000118891.1)". Lineage: Eukaryota; Metazoa; Chordata; Actinopteri; Salmoniformes; Salmonidae. The record is from RNAcentral.